Molecule: long non-coding RNA, 296 nt
Filed under: Homo sapiens (human)
Lineage: Eukaryota; Metazoa; Chordata; Mammalia; Primates; Hominidae
Description: HSALNT0345534
Source: RNAcentral
AGUGUCCUCAGCUGUGUCUUCAGGGGUCCUUAGGGCAAAUUUACUUUCGAUGUCGAUAAAAUCUCUUCUUUCUGGAAAGGAAAAAUUGGAUAUGAGGUUAACUGGAGGGUUGCUUGAUUUUAUUCAUUGGAAUGAUAUGUUUUAGGUUCACAGGCAACCACCGCUGAUGCUAUUUUUGUUUCUGAAGUGUUUUCGAAAACGAAUGUGGAUUGCAAGAGAACAACAGAUGCUCCAACGUUGAGCAAAGUUGACAGAGAGACAACCUUAACUCUGAAUUAAGAUUGUCACCAUUGACC